Esox lucius (northern pike) is the source of this 1359-nucleotide long non-coding RNA. NCBI's taxonomy places the organism in Eukaryota, Metazoa, Chordata, Actinopteri, Esociformes, Esocidae. The record is from Ensembl.
CAUUGCUACUAUAAAAUGGCAGAAAAUUUACAAAAAGUGCCGUUAUUUCUAGAUAUAGAUGAAAAUAACUUCUAAUUCAAUCUGCACUUUAACCUGUCAUUUUAUCAUUCCAAAGAUUGUCACUGUGACUGUAAAGUAUUUCAUGUCUUGAGUGAAAACAAUUGGCUAAUAAAUUAUGAUAAAAUAUAUCUAAGCUAAUAAAAAAAUAUGAAACAUACACAAAUAUGUACAAUGGCUUUGGAAAGUAUUCAGAUAUCUUCACUUCCACCACAUUUUGUUGUUAUAGACUUCAUUUAUAAUUGAUUGAAUGUCAUUUGUAUUUCCAUACAUUGGGUGGUCCCCCAAAUAUUAUCACCCCACUUUUUUUUUCUUAUAUUAUGAACUCUGCUAUAAAUUCUCAUAAAGCUGUUUACAUUUUACUGUUAAAAUGUUGGCAGAGUGCUUGGAUUGCAUAUGAAUAGCUUUCCUAUGAAUAGCUGCACCAAUGAGAUCCUAGGAAUUUCAUCACAUGACUUUUACAGAACAUUGUUGGUGGACAGCUUUAGGGAGUUGAAAUGAAUGAGUUUGUUUGUAUUCUUAAACAUACUCUCUAUGUCAGGAAUUACAUAGAUGGUGCCUAAGAGUAUAAGCAAUAUAGAUACUCAGUAAUUGUCUUCAUAUCAAUACCACAGGAACUGCAUAGAAGGUGCCUAAUGGUAAGCAAUCCAGGCACUCAGUCACUGUCCUAUCAAUACCGCAGGGCUAGAAAAAGACUGAUUGGACAAAAUAAACAGUACAUCUACAUCAAACAAGCUGCAGCAUCAUAUUACAGAGGACAGAGGAAAGAAUUAUGCUCAACUUGGAAGAAUUUACUUGCUACUUGAAUGGAUGAAAUCAUGGCAGUCUGGCAGUUCGUGAAUAUUUUGCAAACCCAAACUAACUAUAUAGGUUAUUUAAGACACAACUAGACUAGACUGGAAAAAGAUUGCUGGAACAAAAUGAAUAAUAAUUUUCUCUUUUCAUCGGGCAGUUGAGGUCAAGAAAAUGAAGAAUUAGAGAAUCUGGACCAAAGUACAAACCUGCCUGUAUUCUCACCAUAAGGCAAGAACAUGCCCAUCAUGAUGGACAACUGCACUGCGUCCAAAAAACCCUGACAACUAUACGCUGUCCUUCUCUGCAAGCAUCAACAUUUAUCACGUUAUGCGCUAAGGGACACCAAGUUCAACAUAAAGAUCCAUGUGACACUGCCCCAAAAACUGAGCUCAAUGUUCUUCCAGAUUCAUAGCACUUCUAGAGUAGACAGAAUGUGGUGUUAAUUUUAUAUAAUUUUAUCCAUUCCAUGUUUCUGUCUGGAUUCCAUGAUUCCACCUUGAUCUCCGC